UGUGAUCUUCGUCGUCGACAGUAACGACACCAACCGCUUGAAGGAGGCACGUCUGGAGUUGUGGCGUGUGCUGGAAUCGCCCGAGCUCAGCGCCGCCGUCGUCCUCGUCUUU
Molecule: non-coding RNA, 112 nt
Filed under: Gloeochaete wittrockiana
Lineage: Eukaryota; Glaucocystophyceae; Gloeochaetales; Gloeochaetaceae
Source: RNAcentral